UUUUAUUGUAUUGUUAUUUCAUAGUUAUUUUAUUUAUAUAUUGCUAAUAAUUAAUUUUAUUUCAUAUACAAGGUUAAUAAUCAAAUCCUUACAGAUUUUCAUAAAAGAAUAAUUAUUUAUUUUUAUUUUUUUAUUCAAAUGGUCCCAUUUAUAUAUACUUGUUUUUUAUUGUUUUUUAUUUCCUUAACUUUGUUAAUCCCUCUUAUUACAAACUUCGGUUCCUUCACAGUAUACACCAGCAGGAGGACUGAAAGCUUCACUUUAUGGUUUAGGCACAGAGGUACUUUAUUGGCAUUCUGUUUCCGCACAGAGGUCAUUACUGACGGCUUCUGGCUGUUUCCGAGGGAUUAUGACCUUUGGUAAUGCCCUUCAUUACUGUAGUAAUGGAGAAACACUCACGGUCUUUUUGGAAGCUUCACGACCAACUUCCUGUAGCACGUUGCAGCGGUGCACAUAGCAACAUAUUCUUGGCAGGCCUCAUUGUUGGAAGAAUAUUAGUGUCCUAAGGUUACAGCCCAUGAGCAUUGGGAGCCUCCAACAUAUUUCUUCAUUCAGCAGCAGACGCAAUCCGGGGUGUGCAGCGAGAAAAGUCCAGCAACUUGGAUAAAAUCAUGCAGCAAUCCAGUGAGGUGCAGGUGGUAAUUGAAAAUUGGAGAAAGCAGGCCUUCA
RNAcentral lists this long non-coding RNA (669 nucleotides) under Vigna radiata. RNAcentral's name for it is "long non-coding RNA (VRAD_LNC011538)". Lineage: Eukaryota; Viridiplantae; Streptophyta; Magnoliopsida; Fabales; Fabaceae. The record is from RNAcentral.